Molecule: ribosomal RNA, 446 nt
Filed under: uncultured bacterium
Lineage: Bacteria
Description: partial 16S ribosomal RNA
Rfam family: Bacterial small subunit ribosomal RNA
Source: RNAcentral
CCUACGGGUGGCUGCAGUCGAGAAUCAUUCACAAUGGGGGAAACCCUGAUGGUGCGACGCCGCGUGGGGGAAUGAAGGUCUUCGGAUUGUAAACUCCUGUCAUGCGGGAGCAAAUUAAAAUGCUAGUACCACAUUACGAAGAGCCGGCUAACUCUGUGCCAGCAGCCGCGGUAAUACAGAGGGCUCAAGCGUUGUUCGGAAUCACUGGGCGUAAAGCGUGCGUAGGCUGUUUCGUAAGUCGGGUGUGAAAGGCGCGGGCUCAACCCGCGGACGGCACAUGAUACUGGGAGACUAGAGUAAGGGGGGGGGAGCCGGAAUUCUCGGUGUAGCAGUGAAAUGCGUAGAUAUCGAGAGGAACACUCGUGGCGAAGGCAGGUUCCUGGACAGUAACUGACGCUGAGGCACGAAGGCCAGGGGAGCGAAAGGGAUUAGAUACCCGUGUAGUC